UUAAGCGACUAAGCGUACACGGUGGAUGCCCUGGCAGUCAGAGGCGAUGAAGGACGUGCUAAUCUGCGAUAAGCGUCGGUAAGGUGAUAUGAACCGUUAUAACCGGCGAUUUCCGAAUGGGGAAACCCAGUGUGAUUCGUCACACUAUCAUUAACUGAAUCCAUAGGUUAAUGAGGCGAACCGGGGGAACUGAAACAUCUAAGUACCCCGAGGAAAAGAAAUCAACCGAGAUUCCCCCAGUAGCGGCGAGCGAACGGGGAGGAGCCCAGAGCCUGAAUCAGUGUGUGUGUUAGUGGAAGCGUCUGGAAAGGCGCGCGAUACAGGGUGACAGCCCCGUACACAAAAAUGCACAUGCUGUGAGCUCGAUGAGUAGGGCGGGACACGUGGUAUCCUGUCUGAAUAUGGGGGGACCAUCCUCCAAGGCUAAAUACUCCUGACUGACCGAUAGUGAACCAGUACCGUGAGGGAAAGGCGAAAAGAACCCCGGCGAGGGGAGUGAAAAAGAACCUGAAACCGUGUACGUACAAGCAGUGGGAGCACGCUUAGGCGUGUGACUGCGUACCUUUUGUAUAAUGGGUCAGCGACUUAUAUUCUGUAGCAAGGUUAACCGAAUAGGGGAGCCGAAGGGAAACCGAGUCUUAACUGGGCGUUAAGUUGCAGGGUAUAGACCCGAAACCCGGUGAUCUAGCCAUGGGCAGGUUGAAGGUUGGGUAACACUAACUGGAGGACCGAACCGACUAAUGUUGAAAAAUUAGCGGAUGACUUGUGGCUGGGGGUGAAAGGCCAAUCAAACCGGGAGAUAGCUGGUUCUCCCCGAAAGCUAUUUAGGUAGCGCCUCGUGAAUUCAUCUCCGGGGGUAGAGCACUGUUUCGGCAAGGGGGUCAUCCCGACUUACCAACCCGAUGCAAACUGCGAAUACCGGAGAAUGUUAUCACGGGAGACACACGGCGGGUGCUAACGUCCGUCGUGAAGAGGGAAACAACCCAGACCGCCAGCUAAGGUCCCAAAGUCAUGGUUAAGUGGGAAACGAUGUGGGAAGGCCCAGACAGCCAGGAUGUUGGCUUAGAAGCAGCCAUCAUUUAAAGAAAGCGUAAUAGCUCACUGGUCGAGUCGGCCUGCGCGGAAGAUGUAACGGGGCUAAACCAUGCACCGAAGCUGCGGCAGCGACGCUUAUGCGUUGUUGGGUAGGGGAGCGUUCUGUAAGCCUGUGAAGGUGUGCUGUGAGGCAUGCUGGAGGUAUCAGAAGUGCGAAUGCUGACAUAAGUAACGAUAAAGCGGGUGAAAAGCCCGCUCGCCGGAAGACCAAGGGUUCCUGUCCAACGUUAAUCGGGGCAGGGUGAGUCGACCCCUAAGGCGAGGCCGAAAGGCGUAGUCGAUGGGAAACAGGUUAAUAUUCCUGUACUUGGUGUUACUGCGAAGGGGGGACGGAGAAGGCUAUGUUGGCCGGGCGACGGUUGUCCCGGUUUAAGCGUGUAGGCUGGUUUUCCAGGUAAAUCCGGAAAAUCAAGGCUGAGGCGUGAUGACGAGGCACUACGGUGCUGAAGCAACAAAUGCCCUGCUUCCAGGAAAAGCCUCUAAGCAUCAGGUAACAUCAAAUCGUACCCCAAACCGACACAGGUGGUCAGGUAGAGAAUACCAAGGCGCUUGAGAGAACUCGGGUGAAGGAACUAGGCAAAAUGGUGCCGUAACUUCGGGAGAAGGCACGCUGAUAUGUAGGUGAAGUCCCUCGCGGAUGGAGCUGAAAUCAGUCGAAGAUACCAGCUGGCUGCAACUGUUUAUUAAAAACACAGCACUGUGCAAACACGAAAGUGGACGUAUACGGUGUGACGCCUGCCCGGUGCCGGAAGGUUAAUUGAUGGGGUCAGCGCAAGCGAAGCUCUUGAUCGAAGCCCCGGUAAACGGCGGCCGUAACUAUAACGGUCCUAAGGUAGCGAAAUUCCUUGUCGGGUAAGUUCCGACCUGCACGAAUGGCGUAAUGAUGGCUAGGCUGUCUCCACCCGAGACUCAGUGAAAUUGAACUCGCUGUGAAGAUGCAGUGUACCCGCGGCAAGACGGAAAGACCCCGUGAACCUUUACUAUAGCUUGACACUGAACAUUGAGCCUUGAUGUGUAGGAUAGGUGGGAGGCUUAGAAGUGUGGACGCCAGUCUGCAUGGAGCCGACCUUGAAAUACCACCCUUUAAUGUUUGAUGUUCUAACGUUGACCCGUAAUCCGGGUUGCGGACAGUGUCUGGUGGGUAGUUUGACUGGGGCGGUCUCCUCCUAAAGAGUAACGGAGGAGCACGAAGGUUGGCUAAUCCUGGUCGGACAUCAGGAGGUUAGUGCAAUGGCAUAAGCCAGCUUGACUGCGAGCGUGACGGCGCGAGCAGGUGCGAAAGCAGGUCAUAGUGAUCCGGUGGUUCUGAAUGGAAGGGCCAUCGCUCAACGGAUAAAAGGUACUCCGGGGAUAACAGGCUGAUACCGCCCAAGAGUUCAUAUCGACGGCGGUGUUUGGCACCUCGAUGUCGGCUCAUCACAUCCUGGGGCUGAAGUAGGUCCCAAGGGUAUGGCUGUUCGCCAUUUAAAGUGGUACGCGAGCUGGGUUUAGAACGUCGUGAGACAGUUCGGUCCCUAUCUGCCGUGGGCGCUGGAGAACUGAGGGGGGCUGCUCCUAGUACGAGAGGACCGGAGUGGACGCAUCACUGGUGUUCGGGUUGUCAUGCCAAUGGCACUGCCCGGUAGCUAAAUGCGGAAGAGAUAAGUGCUGAAAGCAUCUAAGCACGAAACUUGCCCCGAGAUGAGUUCUCCCUGACUCCUUGAGAGUCCUGAAGGAACGUUGAAGACGACGACGUUGAUAGGCCGGGUGUGUAAGCGCAGCGAUGCGUUGAGCUAACCGGUACUAAUGAACCGUGAGGCUUAACCUU
This 2902-nucleotide ribosomal RNA is filed under the name Escherichia coli. RNAcentral describes it as "bacterial LSU rRNA". It matches the Rfam family "Bacterial large subunit ribosomal RNA". The record is from RNAcentral. Lineage: Bacteria; Pseudomonadati; Pseudomonadota; Gammaproteobacteria; Enterobacterales; Enterobacteriaceae.